RNAcentral lists this ribosomal RNA (255 nucleotides) under uncultured bacterium. RNAcentral describes it as "partial 16S ribosomal RNA". It matches the Rfam family "Bacterial small subunit ribosomal RNA", at positions 524 to 776 of the family's 1533-position model. The record is from RNAcentral.
UACGGGGAGAGCAAGCGUUGUUCGGAUUUACUGGGCGUAAAGGGCGCGUAGGCGGCCACCGCAAGUCAGUUGUGAAAUCUCUGGGCUUAACCCAGAACGGUCAGCUGAUACUGCGGGGCUAGAGUGCAGAAGGGGCAACUGGAAUUCUCGGUGUAGCGGUGAAAUGCGUAGAUAUCGAGAGGAACACCUGCGGCGAAGGCGGGUUGCUGGGCUGACACUGACGCUGACAGCGCGAAAGCUAGGGGAGCGAACGGG